UACGUAGGGGGCUAGCGUUGUUCGGAAUUACUGGGCGUAAAGCGCACGUAGGCGGCUUUGUAAGUCAGGGGUGAAAGCCCGGGGCUCAACCCCGGGAGGCGGAUGGAUACUGUCAAGCUCGAGUCCGGAAGAGGCGAGUGGAAUUCCAGGUGUAGCGGUGAAAUGCGCAGAUAUCUGGAGGAACACCAAUGGCGAAGGCAGCUCGCUGGGCCGGUACUGACGCUGAGACGCGAAAGCGUGGGGAGCAAACAGG
RNAcentral lists this ribosomal RNA (253 nucleotides) under uncultured bacterium. RNAcentral describes it as "partial 16S ribosomal RNA". It matches the Rfam family "Bacterial small subunit ribosomal RNA", at positions 524 to 776 of the family's 1533-position model. The record is from RNAcentral.